RNAcentral lists this ribosomal RNA (373 nucleotides) under uncultured organism. RNAcentral describes it as "bacterial SSU rRNA". It matches the Rfam family "Bacterial small subunit ribosomal RNA", at positions 526 to 896 of the family's 1533-position model. The record is from RNAcentral.
CAGAGGUCCCGAGCGUUGUUCGGAUUCACUGGGCGUAAAGGGUGCGUAGGUGGUGAGGUAAGUCGGAUGUGAAAUCUCCGGGCUCAACCCGGAAAUGGCAUUGGAAACUACCUUGCUGGAGGAUUUGAGGGGGGAUUGGAAUACUUGGUGUAGCAGUGAAAUGCGUAGAUAUCAAGUGGAACACCAGUGGCGAAGGCGAAUCCCUGGAAAAUACCUGACACUGAGGCACGAAAGCUAGGGGAGCAAACAGGAUUAGAUACCCUGGUAGUCCUAGCCCUAAACGGUGCUUGCUUGCUGUAAGAGGAAUCGACCCCCUCUUGUGGCGGAGCUAACGCGUUAAGCAAGCCGCCUGGGAAGUACGGUCGCAAGAUUA